RNAcentral lists this ribosomal RNA (303 nucleotides) under uncultured bacterium. RNAcentral's name for it is "bacterial SSU rRNA". It matches the Rfam family "Bacterial small subunit ribosomal RNA", at positions 355 to 675 of the family's 1533-position model. The record is from RNAcentral.
UAGGGAAUAUUGCUCAAUGGGGGAAACCCUGAAGCAGCAACGCCGCGUGGAGGAUGAAGGUUUUAGGAUUGUAAACUCCUUUUGUGAGAGAAGAUUAUGACGGUAUCUCACGAAUAAGCACCGGCUAACUCCGUGCCAGCAGCCGCGGUAAUACGGAGGGUGCAAGCGUUACUCGGAAUCACUGGGCGUAAAGAGUGCGCAGGCGGGGUGGUAAGUCAGAUGUGAAAUCCUGUAGCUUAACUACAGAACUGCAUUUGAAACUAUCACUCUAGAGUAUGGGAGAGGUAGGUGGAAUUCUUGGUG